CUCCCUCAUACAGACUCCGCAAGCCAAGAGGCCGUGGAGGCAAAUGCAGACAGCCAGCACACCUCGAACAGCCACCUUAACUGCGGGUGUGUUAGUAGAUUCCUGUUGUACAUAUGCUCAUAAUAAACUUCAGUAAACUUGAACUUGAUAAUAAACUUGAA
This 161-nucleotide long non-coding RNA is filed under the name Dermacentor andersoni. Its description in RNAcentral is "uncharacterized LOC126526704". Lineage: Eukaryota; Metazoa; Arthropoda; Arachnida; Ixodida; Ixodidae. The record is from RNAcentral.